AUGAACAGAGAGUGCAGACAGAGGUGGCUUGAGAAACAGCAGCACGUAAUGUGGUUUGGCAGGACAGUCCCAGAGGAACUCAUCUGCUUGGCUCAGCUUAGAGGAGGUUUUAGCAAGGUACACACUAACCAUCGAUGCUUCUCUACUCUGAAGUGAAACCUCUGUAAAUGAAGAUGUUAGAAGCAAGAAAACGUGUUUCUGAUAUCUCUUGGCAUGAGCGACAUAUGGGUUCAAGCUGAAAUGAUGGAGCAUCCAUUCACUUAGCAAAACAAAAAUAUGCCUUGGCACUCUGCUCUUCUCUGCUACUAUUCCAGCCAAAUUUCAAUUGAAAGAGCGGUGGGUUAUUUUGUCAUUGACUAUGGCAACAGUAUUUCAUCUGGAUGAGAUUCUUCAUGAAGUGUGGCACACAGAGUACCAGCAACAAUUAGAAAGAUGAUAUUCCUCUUGCAGUGCUCUCUACUGCCAAAGUUUUUAAUGUUGCAGGUCAAGACACCAAUAAGUAGAAAAGGUUGGUGGAAAUAUCUGAAAACGUUCAAAAACAAACAAAAAACCCUACCACCUACCUAUAUUGAAUGAGUUCUUUAUGUCCUUUCUAUGUUUUUCUUCUUUCAAGUUUUCUGGUUGUUAUUUUUCUUUUUAAAAAAUCAAAAAUCUGUGUUUUUUUUUUUUUGUUUUGUUUUGUUUUUUGUUUUUAAAUCAUCUUUCCAAAAUUUCUGCUGUACAUGUUUAUCUGGUUGAGCUUGUGUAGCAUCCAUUCUAUUCUAGUUCUUAAAUGUAGAGAUAACAAUUUGUCUGCCUCAUGAAACCAAUAAGUAACUAGGGAAAAGAAAAAAAAAAUCAAAGAUAUUAUUUCCUUAAAGACUUUUGCCCAAGUGGUCCUCAUAAAAAUAGGUAAAGUCUCUGAAAGACUAAUACAUGUUCCAUUUUUUGUCGUAUCUGAUAAGGCACUAAGUGUUUGCUAAAAGUUCCCCUCUUCAGAGUGCAAAUCUCAUUGGAAAAAUGCUUUUCCAUCUUAUGUACACCAAGACAAAAACUCCGUAAGAAUCAGAAGUCAUGAGAACAGAGCUGAGCCUGGGUCAGGGCAUGGUUCGUCUUUACAAGUGUGAAGGCUUACAGUAGACACCUGCAGCUCAGUUGUCAUUUUGGGCUCCUUAUUUUAGUCUUUGGAGAAAGACAGGCACUUCUAGGGUCUGGCUUCCUUAAUUUAGAUGAAGUCAGAAAUUCAAGAUAGGUGAGGUGAGUCAUGUCCCAGAAGUGCCUGUCUUUGCUGACAGUAAAGCAAGUGAAGAAAAUAUUAGACCAGUUGUAGCUUUCUAUUGUAUAACUGAGAUGAAUUCCAACCUUUGGAGAAAAGAGAUUUUCCACUAUUGAGGGAUGUUUUCAUUUAAAAAUAUUAACUGCAUCAUGCAAAUGAAGUAUAGAUUGUGCAUGUUUUAUAUCCAAGCUAAGAAAGAUGGAGUUAAAAAUUGCAUUGAAUGCAGGCAGCUGCCUAAUAACUCCAACUAACAUGUCACGUUUGGAACGUAGAAACAUGACAGGUGAACACAUGCAAGCCGUUGUACUCAGUGCCAUUAACUCCUAGAGGAUAAAUGAAAUUUAAUAUUGAAUGUACCAAUAAGAAAAAAAUCCUGCAGAUAUUUUUAUAUCUACCAUCUCGAUUAUUGUUAGUGCUGACUCCCAAAGCUGCUCUGCAUAUUUUUUCCCCUACCUGUCUCCUGUAAAAAGAGAGGCUUCACUGGAAAUUUUAAGAAACAUCUGAGAGAUCGUGAUUCUGUGUCAGUGUAUUUGUUGUAUCAGUUGGUGGUGCUUGUUGUUGAGAAACUGUUUGUACUCAAGCUUGGAGUUGGACUUUUUUUUUAGUAAUCUGUUUAUUUAUUUUUUUUUUCCCAAGGAAUAGAACAGUUUGUGUAGAAAAAGAAAAGGUUAGUCAGUAUGAUUUUAUAAUCCUCCAGUUAUUUAACAAACCAAUUAGAAUGAUGACUUGGCAAAACCAACUUUAAAGUGAAUUAAGACUAUGCCCCAGAUAUAGCCCAUGCUUAUACAAUUAUUUUUUUAAAGAGCUUACAUCAGCUUUAAACUAAUCUAUGAUUCGAGAAUUAAAACGUAAGAAGUAAUAAAAAUUUUUGAAACAGAAAAGAUCA
This 2141-nucleotide long non-coding RNA is filed under the name Anas platyrhynchos platyrhynchos (common mallard). RNAcentral's name for it is "lncRNA (ENSAPLG00000016501.1)". Lineage: Eukaryota; Metazoa; Chordata; Aves; Anseriformes; Anatidae. The record is from RNAcentral.